RNAcentral lists this ribosomal RNA (473 nucleotides) under uncultured bacterium. RNAcentral's name for it is "bacterial SSU rRNA". It matches the Rfam family "Bacterial small subunit ribosomal RNA", at positions 28 to 521 of the family's 1533-position model. The record is from RNAcentral.
GACGAACGCUGGCGGCGUGCCUAACACAUGCAAGUCGAACGAGGUCCAUCCUUCGGGAGAAGACCUAGGGCGAACGGGUGAGUAACACGUGAAGAACCUGCCCCGAAGACCGGGAUAACCCUCCGAAAGGAGAGCUAAUACCGGAUACCCCCACCGAACCGCAUGGUUUGGUGAGGAAAUGGAUUCCGCUUCGGGAGGGCUUCGCGGCCUAUCAGCUAGUUGGUGGGGUAACGGCCCACAAGGCAUCGACGGGUAGCUGGUCUGAGAGGACGAUCAGCCACACUGGGACUGAGACACGGCCCAGACUCCUACGGGAGGCAGCAGUGGGAAUCUUGCGCAAUGGGCGAAAGCCUGACGCAGCAACGCCGCGUGGGGGAUGAAGGCUCUCGGGUUGUAAACCCCUUUCAGCAGGGACGAAUCAAGACGGUACCCGCAGAAGAAGCCCCGGCUAACUACGUGCCAGCAGCCGCGGU